GUAAAAACACAAACGACUCUCGGCAACGGAUAUCUAGGCUCUCGCAACGAUGAAGAACGUAGCGAAAUGCGAUACUUGGUGUGAAUUGCAGAAUCCCGUGAACCAUCGAGUUUUUGAACGCAAGUUGCGCCCGAAGCCUUCUGGCCGAGGGCACGUCUGCCUGGGC
RNAcentral lists this ribosomal RNA (166 nucleotides) under Oreostylidium subulatum. Its description in RNAcentral is "5.8S ribosomal RNA". It matches the Rfam family "5.8S ribosomal RNA". From Rfam's summary of the family: 5.8S ribosomal RNA (5.8S rRNA) is a component of the large subunit of the eukaryotic ribosome. It is transcribed by RNA polymerase I as part of the 45S precursor that also contains 18S and 28S rRNA. Functionally, it is thought that 5.8S rRNA may be involved in ribosome translocation. The record is from RNAcentral. Lineage: Eukaryota; Viridiplantae; Streptophyta; Magnoliopsida; Asterales; Stylidiaceae.